Molecule: long non-coding RNA, 1343 nt
Organism: Daphnia magna
Lineage: Eukaryota; Metazoa; Arthropoda; Branchiopoda; Diplostraca; Daphniidae
Exons: 2
Source: RefSeq, a predicted model, not a curated record
GUAGCCAUCUAUCGGCGAUCAGUUCAUGAAUAGAAAUAAUAGAAUUACUGCUACACUGCACGCCAUCUAUCAGUGAUCUGAUACACUAAUCUGUAGUUUUAAAGCCUUCAGUCUUAGCCAGAGAAAACUACCAGUUCACCAGCAAUAAAAUAAAAUAGAAUAAAAAUAAUAAAAUAAAAAUAAAGUGGCUUUCUUAUUUUCCGAGUACGAGAAAGCUAAAGUUCUGAUAAUUUUUUUAUAAAGGUGACACAACAAGAAGGCAUACCAAAUUACCAAUAAAAGAAAGAGUGGUUUGGAAGGAAAACGUCAGCAGUGCCAAAACCCAACAAAAAAAAACAUAGUCAACAUUGAACAAAAUAAUUGGAACUUAUAAUGGUUGAUAAGGCUGAAACCCAUUAUGAUAAUAUUUAAUCAUGCCCGUAUAUAUAGGUGAAUCUGGUAAGACAUUGAAGCCAUUAAAAAUUGUGCUGACAAAUUCUGUUAGAUAACCUUCGUUUUGAAGCCAUACCGCCAUACUAGCGUGAAUAAUAGUUGGCCUGUUUCCAUUUUGCGUAUUCCCUGCUAAAGUCAGGUGAGUCAAGUUCAUUGUUCUCGUUUGGGUUUUCAGUAGGAAGUGUAUUCUGGCGGAAUUCUGAACGUGAUACUGCAUUUGCGCCUAUUAAAAUAGUUAAAAUCGUAAAUCAUCCACCCUUUUUAGGUUAGUUUUCUUACAUCUUUGAAAUAAUAGGUUUUCUGGACGUAACAGCCUCUUAACGCAAUCACGAUUUUAGGGCAAUGUUUCUUGAGAUAUCCGUUGCCUUAGCAUAGAGAUUUCGUCCUAUCUCUUUCCUGAAAGAACUGCACGACUGGCUUGUUUGGAUAAAAGGAGGCAAAUCUGUACAUAAUCAGAAUUAGAACAAAUAAGGUAACUGAUGCAGCAAAAACAGCUAUAGCUACGUAUGGGAUGGUUCAAGUGGAUUCACGGGCAAUUGCAAGCAGCACCAAACGGACCAUUCACAGCAGGGCAAUGGCACUAAACUCAAUGGAGUGCGGAUGAUUUACGGGCCAGGCCGAAAAAUAGGCGUUUAGUACGGAUGGAUGUGACAUCGGAAGGGACCUCAGCGGUUGCGGAUGCUGCGGUAUCGACGGGGACAUCAGGCUGACCGUCGUUAUUCGUAUCGACACCCUUGAAGUUCAGGUUACUGACAAAAUGGCGAAUUGUGUGGAGACGAUUGAGGAGCGAAUUGAGCACAGGCACAAGCUAAAAGGCAGCUAAAUAUCUGUUGACAAACUUUGUACUUUAAAAUGAUCUCAAAAUGGAAAUGUGGAAAGACUUGAGUAAAGGAAGUGCGUUAUACCAAAAA